Molecule: ribosomal RNA, 451 nt
Filed under: Cambarus maculatus
Lineage: Eukaryota; Metazoa; Arthropoda; Malacostraca; Decapoda; Cambaridae
Description: partial 16S ribosomal RNA
Rfam family: Bacterial large subunit ribosomal RNA
Source: RNAcentral
ACUAAAAGCGCGGUAUUAUGACCGUGCAAAGGUAGCAUAAUCAUUAGUUUUUUAAUUGAGGGCUAAAAUGAAUGGUUGGACAAGAGAUAGGCUGUCUUAGAUUAAGAUAUUGAAUUUAACUUUUGAGUGAAAAGGCUUAAAUAAUCUGAAGGGACGAUAAGACCCUAUAAAACUUUAUAUUGAGAGGUGAGAGGUAAUUUUGUUUAAAAGUUAUUGCUUUAAAGUAUUUGGUUGGGGCGACAAGGAUACAAGGUAAAGUAACUGUUUUUUUUUUCUACAAUAAUGUUUGAGUGAAUGAUCCUAAGAUGGAUUAAAAGAUUAAGUUACUUUAGGGAUAACAGCGUAAUUUUCUUUAAGAGUUCUUAUCGACAAGAAAGUUUGCGACCUCGAUGUUGAAUUAAAAUUCUUUAUGGAGUAGAGACUAUAAGAGAAGUCUGUUCGACCUUUAAAA